This 116-nucleotide ribosomal RNA is filed under the name Klebsiella pneumoniae. Lineage: Bacteria; Pseudomonadati; Pseudomonadota; Gammaproteobacteria; Enterobacterales; Enterobacteriaceae. The record is from RNAcentral.
UUUGCCUGCACUAGCGCGGUGGUCCCACCUGACCCCAUGCCGAACUCAGAAGUGAAACGCCGUAGCGCCGAUGGUAGUGUGGGGUCUCCCCAUGUGAGAGUAGGGAACUGCCAGGC